AGAGUUUGAUCCUGGCUCAGGAUGAACGCUAGCUACAGGCUUAACACAUGCAAGUCGAGGGGCAACAUGGUCUUAGCUUGCUAAGGCUGAUGGCGACCGGCGCACGGGUGAGUAACACGUAUCCAACCUGCCGUCUACUCUUGGCCAGCCUUCUGAAAGGAAGAUUAAUCCAGGAUGGCAUCAUGAGUUCACAUGUCCGCAUGAUUAAAGGUAUUUUCCGGUAGACGAUGGGGAUGCGUUCCAUUAGAUAGUAGGCGGGGUAACGGCCCACCUAGUCAACGAUGGAUAGGGGUUCUGAGAGGAAGGUCCCCCACAUUGGAACUGAGACACGGUCCAAACUCCUACGGGAGGCAGCAGUGAGGAAUAUUGGUCAAUGGGCGAUGGCCUGAACCAGCCAAGUAGCGUGAAGGAUGACUGCCCUAUGGGUUGUAAACUUCUUUUAUAAAGGAAUAAAGUCGGGAAUGCAUACCCGUUUGCAUGUACUUUAUGAAUAAGGAUCGGCUAACUCCGUGCCAGCAGCCGCGGUAAUACGGAGGAUCCGAGCGUUAUCCGGAUUUAUUGGGUUUAAAGGGAGCGUAGAUGGAUGUUUAAGUCAGUUGUGAAAGUUUGCGGCUCAACCGUAAAAUUGCAGUUGAUACUGGAUGUCUUGAGUGCAGUUGAGGCAGGCGGAAUUCGUGGUGUAGCGGUGAAAUGCUUAGAUAUCACGAAGAACUCCGAUUGCGAAGGCAGCCUGCUAAGCUGCGACUGACAUUGAGGCUCGAAAGUGUGGGUAUCAAACAGGAUUAGAUACCCUGGUAGUCCACACGGUAAACGAU
This 815-nucleotide ribosomal RNA is filed under the name uncultured bacterium. RNAcentral describes it as "bacterial SSU rRNA". It matches the Rfam family "Bacterial small subunit ribosomal RNA", at positions 8 to 810 of the family's 1533-position model. The record is from RNAcentral.